This 450-nucleotide ribosomal RNA is filed under the name uncultured bacterium. RNAcentral's name for it is "bacterial SSU rRNA". It matches the Rfam family "Bacterial small subunit ribosomal RNA", at positions 328 to 794 of the family's 1533-position model. The record is from RNAcentral.
GCGCCAGACUCCUACGGGAGGCAGCAGUGGGGAAUAUUGCACAAUGGGGAGAACCCUGAUGCAGCGACGCCGCGUGGGUGAAGGAGCCCCUCGGUGCGUAAAGCCCUAUCGGCAGGGAAGAAACAGACGGUACCUGACUAAGGAGCCCCGGCUAACUACGUGCCAGCAGCCGCGGUAAUACGUAGGGGGCAAGCGUUAUCCGGAUUCACUGGGUGUAAAGGGAGCGUAGACGGCGGCGCAAGUCUGGAGUGAAAGCCUGGGGCCCAACCCCGGGACUGCUCUGGAAACUGCGGCGCUGGAGUACGGGAGGGGCAGGCGGAAUUCCUGGUGUAGCGGUGAAAUGCGUAGAUAUCAGGAGGAACACCGGCGGCGAAGGCGGCCUGCUGGACAUUAACUGACGCUGAGGCGCGAAAGCGUGGGGAGCAAACAGGAUUAGAUACCCGAGUACGC